GACGAACGCUGGCGGCGGGCUUAACACAUGCAAGUCGAACGGAAAGGCAGUGCUUGUGUGGGGUGCUCGAGGGGCGAAGGGGUGAGUAACAGGUGAAUAACCUGCCCUUGACUUUGGGAUAACUUCAGGAAACGGGGGCUAAUAUCGGAUCGGAGCUGCUGCAGGAUGGUGGGGGUUGGAAAGUUUCGGCGGUUGGGGAUGGACUCGCGGCUGAUCAGCUUGUUGGUGGGGUAGUGGAAUACCAAGGCUGUGACGGGUAGCCGGCCUGGGAGGGUGGCCGGCCACAUUGGGACUGCGAUACGGCCCAGACUCGUAUGGGAGGCAGCGGGGGGGAGUAUUGCACAGUGGGCGGAAGCCUGAUGCAGCAACGCCGGGUGCGGGAAGACGGCCUUCUGGUUGUAAACCGCUUUCGCCUGUGACGAAGCGUUAGUGACGGUAAUGGGAAAAGAAGCACCGGCUAACUACGUG
Molecule: ribosomal RNA, 468 nt
Filed under: uncultured bacterium
Lineage: Bacteria
Description: partial 16S ribosomal RNA
Rfam family: Bacterial small subunit ribosomal RNA
Source: RNAcentral